CUGACCUAUGUGGACAGCUGCAAGAACAAAGGAUUCCUGCACCAAGAAGUUUACAACAACCAACUCCCCCCUUCACCCCCUGCCCCUCACCUUUUAGUAUAAAAGAAGCCUGAAUUCUGACUGUGGUAAGAUGGUUCUCUAGGACAUUAGUCGGCCACCUUCUCAGUCUGCUGGCUUUCCAGAUAAAGUUCCCCCAGUAACUUGUCUCCCGAUUUACUGCCUGUCAUGCAGCGAGCAGAAUGACUUUAGACUUAGUAACAGAUGUACUGUGUAAUGAGGUGUCAUCUGUGUAAUCACUCCAGGCUCUUGUGGUCUGAAAGCUUAGGCCCUUACUCUAAUGCACUAUCUUCCUUUAUUAUGAGAGAGAUUUUCCUGAAAACCUGUCUGUAAACCAUUUAUUUCUCUAUAAAAUCUUAUUCCCAUCCCACUCAUGGCAUUUGUUAUCAUAUUGCCUUUAAUACAAAUAACUCCCCAAAUGUAGCUGUUUCCCAUAUUUAAGUUCUGGAAACUUCUCUUAGAAUCUCAGAAUUUCAGAGGUUGCCACAGAAGGGAGAUUGGGAAGAGAAGAGAGGGAAUGGUGUUUAAUGAUUGUCUUUGGUUUCUUUUUCGAAAAAUAGCUGUACAAAAUAACAUGUGCACAACAACACGAAACAAAAGCUACAACUGCCCUCCCAUCGUUAAUUUCAAUUACAGGGAAAACUAUGUUAUCGGAAGUAUUUGCUUGUUAGAGACCCUACUUUAACUUUCAAAUACUAUUGAGUGUUUAUAAGCCAUGCCCAUGUCUCAGGUUCUGAUUUUACAUUACCCAAAACCCUAUUUGAGUACCUACCGUGUGCCUCGUACAUAGAAAAAUUUGUAUAAGGCGUGAUCCUUUGCUCUCAAGAAGUUUGCAUUCUACUUCCAGAAGGUAGGCCCUGCACACACUGCACGGAAUUCUAUGGAGUCAUGACCACACAAUUCUCAUGUAGCUGAGGAGGGCACAGAAUACCCUAGAGGCCAUUGGGCAGGGGCUCAAGUGGCCUGUAGGGUAGCCUGACCCUGCCACUGCCUCCUGGAGCUAUUUAGGGGAUGUGGCAGUAAACAGCAUGAUGCCUGUCGUUAUUUUCUCCUCUGACCCACCCGCCGUCAUGGGAGGAGGCCAGGCCUGACUUAGCAGGGUUCUUAGACUAGUCAGGAGCCAGAAGACAUUGUGGGGGAGGGCUGUGAGCAAUGGGAGCCUUAUGCUUGUGGUUGCUACAGGAGGAGGGCGAUCAGGUGCUCCCCAGAUAGCUUUCCAAGAUGCUCUCAAGAUCAUAUCCUGCCCCAUUGCCUCAUCCUGCUCAUCGGACCCUAAAACAAGGUUUGGCUUGCCUUUGAGAAAUCUGCUUGACCUGAAACAGUAGGUGAUAUACCUAGAGUCCACAAAUCUUCUCCCAGAGUUCUAUUUCCUGGGCAUCUCUCUACCUAACUCAGGGUUUCUUCUCUUCUGGCUAAGAACAGACGUGCUAUCCAAAGCUGACAUUCCUCUUGAAGAACAGAGGAAGCAACUACAAGCUCUCCAUUCCCUUCCAACCCAUCUGUGCCUUCCAAGGAAAAUUUACCCAGGCAGGCUCCCAGUUGACUUUUUACAGAUAACCCUGGGAUCCAUCUGAAAUAUCUUUUUGAAGUAUGGCAUCUGGAAAGAACAGCAGUGAUGUUUCCCCCAAAGAGCCAAUUAUCCUAGCAUCAUUUAGCCAAUGAUUUAUAAAAAUCUGAUAAACUACUCUGAGGACUUCCCUGGUGGCGCAGUGGUUAAGAAUCUGCCUGCCA
This is a long non-coding RNA of Balaenoptera musculus (blue whale), 1788 nucleotides long. RefSeq lists it as uncharacterized. The record is from RefSeq and is a predicted model, not a curated record. The transcript has 4 exons. NCBI's taxonomy places the organism in Eukaryota, Metazoa, Chordata, Mammalia, Artiodactyla, Balaenopteridae.